UAAGACGAACCGUACGAACGUUAUUCGGAAUUACUGGGCUUAAAGGGUGCGUAGGCUGCACGGAAAGUUGGGUGUGAAAGCCCUCAGCUCAACUGAGGAAUUGCAUCCAAAACUGCCGUGCUAGAGGGAGACAGAGGUGAGCGGAACUCAAGGUGGAGCGGUGAAAUGCGUUGAUAUCUUGAGGAACACCGGUGGCGAAAGCGGCUCACUGGGUCUCUUCUGACGCUGAGGCACGAAAGCUAAGGUAGCAAACGGGAUUAGAUACCCCGGUAGUCUUAGCUGUAAACGAUGAGCACUUGAUUGGAGGGUCCUCCAUAGCCUUCCAGUCGUAGCGAAAGUGUUAAGUGCUCCGCCUGGGGAGUAUGGUCGCAAGGCUG
Molecule: ribosomal RNA, 377 nt
Filed under: uncultured bacterium
Lineage: Bacteria
Description: bacterial SSU rRNA
Rfam family: Bacterial small subunit ribosomal RNA
Source: RNAcentral